Molecule: ribosomal RNA, 405 nt
Filed under: uncultured bacterium
Lineage: Bacteria
Description: partial 16S ribosomal RNA
Rfam family: Bacterial small subunit ribosomal RNA
Source: RNAcentral
AUUGAACGCUGGCGGCAGGCCUAACACAUGCAAGUCGAACGAGUGGCGGACGGGUGAGUACUGUCUGGGAAACUGCCUGAUGGAGGGGGAUAACUACUGGAAACGGUAGCUAAUACCGCAUACCAUCAGAUGUGCCCAGAUGGGAUUAGCUAGUUGGUGGGGUAACGGCUCACCAAGGCGACGAUCCCUAGCUGGUCUGAGAGGCUGACCGCCAACAUGGGAACUGAGAAACGGUCCAGACCCCUACGGGAGGAAGCAGUGGGGAAUAUUGCACAAUGGGCGUAAGCCUGAUGCAGCCAUGCCGCGUGUAUGAAGAAGGCCUUCGGGUUGUAAAGUACUUUCAGCGGGGAGGCGUUACCCGCAGAAGAAGCACCGGCUAACUCCGUGCCAGCCGCCGCGUAAUUC